GAUGAACGCUGGCGGCGUGCUUAACACAUGCAAGUCGAACGGAGAUAACAUUUUCGAAGCGAUUAGUUUACUAAGAGCGGAGAUGUUGCUAUCUUAGUGGCGGACGGGUGAGUAACGCGUGGGUAACCUGCCUUACACUGGGGGAUAACACUUAGAAAUAGGUGCUAAUACCGCAUAACAGAGGGAGUCGCAUGACUUCGUCUUAAAAACUCCGGUGGUGUAAGAUGGACCCGCGUCUGAUUAGCUUGUUGGCGGGGUAACGGCCCACCAAGGCGACGAUCAGUAGCCGGCCUGAGAGGGUGAACGGCCACAUUGGGACUGAGACACGGCCCAA
This 334-nucleotide ribosomal RNA is filed under the name uncultured bacterium. Its description in RNAcentral is "bacterial SSU rRNA". It matches the Rfam family "Bacterial small subunit ribosomal RNA", at positions 28 to 334 of the family's 1533-position model. The record is from RNAcentral.